Long non-coding RNA from Mytilus californianus (California mussel), 6444 nucleotides. RefSeq lists it as uncharacterized. The record is from RefSeq and is a predicted model, not a curated record. NCBI's taxonomy places the organism in Eukaryota, Metazoa, Mollusca, Bivalvia, Mytilida, Mytilidae. The transcript is spliced from 7 exons.
ACUCAAGCUAGCGAACAAUUGUAGCGAACAAUUAGCCAGCGAACAAUUAGGAGGUAUAACUAAAAACCACAAUUUCACAUAAGACAAUCACGUUUUUUUCGAGCUAGCGAACAAUUACAGAGACCUAGCGGACAAUUAUAAGAAUAUUCAAAAUAUUAAACAAAAACGAAUAAAAAAAAUUAAAACAAAAGGGAUACCAUAAAGAUUUUGAGCAAUUUAUAGAGAUUGUGACAGGCAACGACUGUAAAGGUAACAUAGAGGAGACAUUAUCGUAUCUAAUAAGACAAACUCCAGAAUGGUUUAUGUUUAAAAAUCUGAAGUUAAGUUUAAAAAACUGAAAUUGUAAAAACGAAAAGGGAGUAGGGGGCAUACAUUAAGUUGAUUUUUGACCCAUUUAUAGAGAUUGUGACGGUACACGACUGCAUAGGUGAUGCAGCUGAGACAUAAGCGUAUCUAUUAAGACGAACUCCAGGAUGGUUUAUGUUAAAAAUCUGAAGAAAGGUUGAAAAAAUUGUAAUUAAAAACAAAAAGGGGGAUACCUUAAGUUGAUUGUCGACCCAUUCAUAGAGACUGUGACGGGCAACGACUGCCUAUAGGUGAUGUAGAGGAGACAUUGGCGCAACGUUUAGAAAAAACACCAGAGUAGUUUAUGUUCGAAAAUAUGAAUUUACGGUUAAAAAACUGAAAUUGUGAAAUUGACAAAAUGAGAUUAGGGGGGAAGGCCAAUUUAAGUUAAUUUUGAAAUAAUUUCAUGAGAUUGUGACGGGCAACGACUAUAAAGGUGUUGUAGAGGAGACAUUGGCGCAUCGUUUAAGAAAAUCUUUUAAAAAAAGGUUAAUUUUGGACCAAUUUCAAGAGAUUUUGACGGGCAACGACUAUAUAGGUGUUGUAGAGGAGACAAUGGCGCAUCGUUUAAUAAAAUCUCCAGAGUGGUUUAUGUUCGAAAAUCUGAAGUAACGGUUAAAAAACUGAAAUUGUGAAAUUGACUAAAUGAGAUUGGGGGCUAGGCCAAUUUAAGUUAAUUUUGGACCAAUUUCAAGAGAUUUUGACGGGCAACGACUAUAUAGGUGUUGUAGAGGAGACAAUGGCGCAUCGUUUAAGAAAAUCUCCAGAGUGGUUUAUGUUCGAAAAUCUCAAGUAACGGUUAAAAAACUGAAACUUUUAUUGUAAAAUUGACAAAAUGAGAUAAGGGGGUAGGCCAAUUCAAGUUAAUUUUGGACUAAUUUGAAGAGAUUGUGACGAUCAACGACUAUAUGAGUGUUGUAGAGGAGACAAUGGCGCAUCGUUUAAGAAAAUCUCCAGAGUGGUUUAUGUUCGAAAAUCUGAAGUAACGGUUAAAAAACUGAAAUUGUGAAAUUGAGAAAAUGAGAUUGGGGGGUAGGCCAAUUUAAGUUAAUUUUGGACCAAUUUCAAGAGAUUUUGACGGGCAACGACUAUAUAGGUGUUGUAGAGGAGACAAUGGCGCAUCGUUUAAGAAAAUCUCCAGAGUGGUUUAUGUUCGAAAAUCUCAAGUAACGGUUAAAAAACUGAAACUUUUAUUGUAAAAUUGACAAAAUGAGAUAAGGGGGUAGGCCAAUUCAAGUUAAUUUUGGACUAAUUUGAAGAGAUUGUGACGAUCAACGACUAUAUGAGUGUUGUAGAGGAGACAAUGGCGCAUCGUUUAAGAAAAUCUCCAGAGUGGUUUAUGUUCGAAAAUCUGAAGUAACGGUUAAAAAACUGAAAUUGUGAAAUUGAGAAAAUGAGAUUGGGGGGUAGGCCAAUUUAAGUUAAUUUUGGACCAAUUUCAAGAGAUUUUGACGGGCAACGACUAUAUAGGUGUUGUAGAGGAGACAAUGGCGCAUCGUUUAAGAAAAUCUCCAGAGUGGUUUAUGUUCGAAAAUCUCAAGUAACGGUUAAAAAUCUGAAAUUGUGAUUGACAAAAUGAGAUUGGGGGGGGGGGUAGGCCAAUUUAAGUUAAUUUUGGACCUAUUUCAAGAGAUUUUGACGGGCAACGACUAUAUAGGUGUUGUAGAGGAGACAAUGGCGCAUCGUUUAAGAAAAUCUCCAGAGUGGUUUAUGUUCGAAAAUCUGAAGUUCCGGUUAAAAAACUGAAAUUGUGAAAUUGACUAAAUGAGAUUGGGGGUUAGGCCAAUUUAAGUUAAUUUUCGACCAAUUUCAAGAGAUUGUGACGGGCAACGACUAUAUAGGUGUUGUAGAAGAGACAUUGGCGCAUCGUUUAGGAAAAUCUCCAGAGUGGUUUAUGUUCGAAAAUCUGAAGUUACGGUUAAAAAACUGAAACUUUUAUUGUGAAAUUGACAAAAUGAGAUUAGGGGGGUAGGGCAAUUCAAGUUAAAUUUGGACUAAUUUGAAGAGAUUGUGACGGGCAACGACUAUAUGAGUGUUGUAGAGGAGACAAUGGCGCAUCGUUUAAGAAAAUCUCCAGAGUGGUUUAUGUUCGAAAAUCUGAGGUUACGGUUAAAAAACUGAAACUUUUAUUGUGAAAUUGACAAAAUGAGAUUAGGGGGGUAGGCCAAUUUAAGUUAAUUUUGGACCAAUUUCAAGAGAUUGUGACGGGCAACGAUUACAUAGGUGUUGUAGAGGAGACAUUUGCGCAUCGUUUAAGAAAAUCUCCAGAGUGGUUUAUGUUCGAAAAUCUGAAGUUCCGGUUAAAAAACUGAAAUUGUGAAAUUGACAAAAUGAGAUUAGGGGGGUAGGCCAAUUUAAGUUAAUUUUGGACCAAUUUCAAGAGAUUUUGACGGGCAACGACUAUAUAGGUGUUGUAGAGGAGACAAUGGCGCAUCGUUUAAGAAAAUCUCCAGAGUGGUUUAUGUUCGAAAAUCUCAAGUAACGGUUAAAAAACUGAAACUUUUAUUGUAAAAUUGACAAAAUGAGAUAAGGGGGUAGGCCAAUUCAAGUUAAUUUUGGACUAAUUUGAAGAGAUUGUGACGAUCAACGACUAUAUGAGUGUUGUAGAGGAGACAAUGGCGCAUCGUUUAAGAAAAUCUCCAGAGUGGUUUAUGUUCGAAAAUCUGAAGUAACGGUUAAAAAACUGAAAUUGUGAAAUUGAGAAAAUGAGAUUGGGGGGUAGGUCAAUUUAAGUUAAUUUUGGACCAAUUUCAAGAGAUUUUGACGGGCAACGACUAUAUAGGUGUUGUAGAGGAGACAAUGGCGCAUCGUUUAAGAAAAUUUUCAGAGUGGUUUAUGUUCGAAAAUCUGAAGUAACGGUUAAAAAACUGAAAUUGUGAAAUUGACUAAAUGAGAUUGGGGGUUAGGCCAAUUUAAGUUAAUUUUCGACCAAUUUCAAGAGAUUGUGACGGGCAACGACUAUAUAGGUGUUGUAGAAGAGACAUUGGCGCAUCGUUUAGGAAAAUCUCCAGAGUGGUUUAUGUUCGAAAAUCUGAAGUUACGGUUAAAAAACUGAAACUUUUAUUGUGAAAUUGACAAAAUGAGAUUAGGGGGUAGGGCAAUUCAAGUUAAAUUUGGACUAAUUUGAAGAGAUUGUGACGGGCAACGACUAUAUGAGUGUUGUAGAGGAGACAAUGGAGCAUCGUUUAAGAAAAUCUCCAGAGUGGUUUAUGUUCGAAAAUCUGAGGUUACGGUUAAAAAACUGAAAAUUUUAUUGUGAAAUUGACAAAAUGAGAUUAGGAGGGUAGGGCAAUUCAAGUUAAUUUUGGACCUAUUUCAAGAGAUUGUGACGGGCAACGACUAUAUAGGUGUUGUAGAGGAAACAAUGGCGCAUCGUUUAAGAAAAUCUCCGGAGUGGUUUAUGUUCGAAAAUCUGAAGUUACGGUUAAAAAACUGAAAAUGUUAUUGUGAAAUUGACAAAAUGAGAUUAAAGGGGUAGGGCACUAAAAGAAAAAAAUGGACCAUUUUAAAGAGAUUAUGACGGGCAACGACUAUAUAGGUGUUGUAGAGGAGACAUUGGCGCAUCGUUUAAGAAAAUCUCCAGAGUGGUUUAUGUUCGAAAAUCUGAAGUUACGGUUAAAAAACUGAAAUUUUUUUUGUGAAAUUAACAAAAUGAGAUAUGGGGGUAGGGCACUAAAAGAAAAAUUUGGACCAUUUUAAAGAGAUUGUGACGGGCAACGAUUACAUAGGUGUUGUAGAGGAGACAUUGGCGCAUCGUUUAAGAAAAUCUCCAGAGUGGUUUAUGUUCGAAAAUCUGAAGUUCCGGUUAAAAAAACUGAAAUUGUGAAAUUGACAAAAUGAGAUUAGGGGGGUAGGCCAAUUUAAGAUAAUUUUGGUCCAAUUUCAAGAGAUUGUGACGGGCAACGACUAUAAAGGUGUUGUAGAGGAGACAUUGGCGCAUCGUUUUAGAAAAUCUCCAGAGUGGUUUAUGUUCGAAAAUCUGAAGUUACGGUUAAAAAACUGAAAUUGUGAAAUUGACAAAAUGAGAUUAGGGGGGUAGGCCAAUUUAAGUUAAUUUUGGACCAAUUUCAAGAGAUUGUGACGGGCAACGAUUACAUAGGUAUUGUAGAGGAGACAUUGGCGCAUCGUUUUAGAAAAUCUCCAGAGUGGUUUAUGUUCGAAAAUCUGAAGUUACGGUUAAAAAAAUGAAAAUUUUAUUGUGAAAUUGACAAAAUGAAAUUAGGGGGGUAGGGCACUAAAAGAAAAAUUUGGACCAUUUUAAAGAGAUUGUGACGGGCAACGACUAUAAAGGUGUUGUAGAGGAGACAUUGGCGCAUCGUUUAAGAAAAUCUCCUGAGUGGUUUAUGUCGAAAAUCUGAAGUUACGGUUAAAAAACUGAAAAUUUUAUUGUGAAAUUGACAGAAUGAGAUUAAGGGGGUAGGGCACUAAAAGAAAAAUUUGGACCAUUUUAAAGAGAUUGUGACGGGCAACGACUAUAUAGGUGUUGUAGAGGAGACAAUGGCGCAUCGUUUAGGAAAAUCUCCAGAGUGGUUUAUGUUCGAAAAUCUGAAGUUACGGUUAAAAAACUGAAAAUUUUAUUGUGAAAUUGACAAAAUGAGAUUGGGGGGUAGGGCAAUUCAAGUUAAUUUUGGACCUAUUUCAAGAGAUUGUGACGGGCAACGACUAUAUAGGUGUUGUAGAGGAAACAAUGGCGCAUCGUUUAAGAAAAUCUCCAGAGUGGUUUAUGUUCGAAAAUCUGAAGUUACGGUUAAAAAACUGAAAAUUUUAUUGUGAAAUUAACAAAAUGAGAUUAGGGGGUAGGGCACUAAAAGAAAAAUUUGGACCAUUUUAAAGAGAUUGUGACGGGCAACGAUUACAUAGGUGUUGUAGAGGAGACAUUGGCGCAUCGUUUAAGAAAAUCUCCAGAGUGGUUUAUGUUCGAAAAUCUGAAGUUCCGGUUAAAAAAACUGAAAUUGUGAAAUUGACAAAAUGAGAUUAGGGGGGUAGGCCAAUUUAAGUUAAUUUUGGACCAAUUUCAAGAGAUUGUGACGGGCAACGAUUACAUAGGUAUUGUAGAGGAGACAUUGGCGCAUCGUUUAAGAAAAUCUCCAGAGUGGUUUAUGUUCGAUAAUCUGAAGUUCCGGUUAAAAAACUGAAAUUAUGAAAUUGACAAAAUGAGAUUUGGGGUUAGGCCAAUUUAAGUUAAUUUUGGACCAAUUUUAAGAGAUUGUGACGGGCAACGACUAUAUAGGUGUUGUAGAGGAGACAUUGGCGCAUCGUUUAGGAAAAUCUCCAGAGUGGUUUAUGUUCGAAAAUCUGAAGUUACGGUUAAAAAACUGAAAAUUUUAUUGUGAAAUUGACAAAAUGUGAUUUGGGGGGUAGGGGAUUUCAAGUUAAUUUUGGACCUAUUUCAAGAGAUUGUGACGGGCAACGACUAUAUAGGUGUUGUAGAGGAAACAAAGGCGCAUUGUUUAAGAAAAUCUCCAGAGUGGUUUAUGUUCGAAAAUCUGAAGUUACGGUUAAAAAACUGAAAAUUUUAUUGUGAAAUUGACAAAAUGAGAUUAGGGGGGUAGGGCACUAAAAGAAAAAUUUGAACAAUUUUAAAGAGAUUGUGACGGGCAACGACUAUAUAGGUGUUGAAGAGGAGACAUUGGCGCAUCGUUUAAGAAAAUCUCCAGAGUAGUUUAUGUUCGAAAAUCUGAAGUUACGGUUAAAAAACUGAAAUUGUGAAAUUGACAAAAUGAGAUUAGAGGGCAGGCCAAUUUAAGUUUAUUUUGGACCAAUUUAAGAGAUUGUGACGGGCAACGACUAUAUAGGUGUUGUAAAGGAGACAUUGGCGCAUCGUUUAAGAAAAUCUCCAGAGUGGUUUAUGUUCGAAAAUCUGAAGUUACGGUUAAAAAACUGAAAAUGUUAUUGUGAAAUUGACAAAAUGAGAUUAGGGGGGUAGGGCACUAAAAGAAAAAUGUGGACCAUUUUAAAGAGAUUGUGACGGGCAACGACUAUAUAGGUGUUGUAGAGGAGACAAUGGCGUAUCGUUUAAGAAAAUCUCCAGAGUGGUUUAUGUUCGAAAAUCUGAAGUUACGGUUAAAAAUCUGAAAUAGUGAAAUUGACAAAAACGGA